Molecule: long non-coding RNA, 1276 nt
Organism: Felis catus (domestic cat)
Lineage: Eukaryota; Metazoa; Chordata; Mammalia; Carnivora; Felidae
Exons: 2
Source: RefSeq, a predicted model, not a curated record
CCCAACAAAACUGUUUUUUUAACAAUCCUCCGACUUUCUUCGGCCCCUUCUCUGAGAUCAGCCCACACUGGCUGCCCUCGGGCCCUCCAGCUGCUCUCUCCUGGUCAUUCUUCCACCCACCGCCCUCACGGCGCUGCCACCACUACAGAGAAAGGGCUUUCCCUUCCUGGGAUGUCCCCAGGCUCAUCUUCCAGGCCUGACCUCAUCCUCUCUCUGCUGCACCUGACAGUUACUCACCCCCAUGUGAAUCCCCCUGCCUCUCUGGCUUCCACGGCCACAGCGUCCUCGCUGGCUGUCCUCCAGCUCUGCCCAUUCUCCUCCGUCUCCCCCAUGGGCUCCGAGCCCUCUGAUUUCCCUCCCUGCUAUUCCCAGGGAAUGUGACCUUGGCCCUCGGCUCUUCUCAAUCCACCUGCUAUCCCCGGUUGGAGCCGCCCGGCCACUGUUAGCAGUUUCCGCUGACACCUAUGUUCAGAGAACUCCCAAUUCCAGACCAAACCCUUGAGGUUCUGGCCCACAGACCCAACUGUCAAAACGGACCUCAUCAACUUCCCCUCUGUAUCAGCAUCUUUUCUUAGAGGGCAGCUGACCGCUCACCACCAUCAUCCUGGCUAAAAACCUGGAAGCCAUUUUCACACAGCUCUCUGUUAAGCACCCACUCCCACCAGACAUCAAGCCUGCUGCCCAGACAGUUCUCCAAGCCAUCACCUCUUCUCCAGCACUACCCCCAGUGUUUCGCAGUCUCACGUCGGGGUCCUGAAGUAGCCUCUUAGCUGGGCCGCCUCAGUUUCAGCCUUGUCCCCCUGAACUCCACAUACAGGCACGCUAAGCUCACAAAAAUAGAAACCUGACGAGUCUAUGCUCCCCGGCUUGCUGCUCUUCAAUGGCUCCCCUUCGUGCAGUGAUUACCUAAUGUACUUGACCCUGAGGUUCGCUGUCGAGAGAGGUCACUGAGAGGACAUGACCACCAGCUGGCCCGUGAACUGGGGCCCUGGCAAUCAGCAGUCAGAGGCCCCUCACCCUUUACCCUGGUCUCUGGUGAACACAGCCAUUCUUACAGCUGAAAAAAAACCACCCUCGAUGCUGAGGACUACAGCCGAGGCUCCCGACGGGCUCCAGGCUCGCAUAUCUGAUGCUAACUUCGCAUGGGCGGCCACUGCUUAUCCCCUGGUCUCUCAACUGUACGGCUGGGUUCCUCGUUGUCCUCUCUCCCUCCAAAUGUCCCCUCCCCACACGCCCCCCAAGCCUUUGUCUUCUCAGUAAAUGAUACCACUGUGUA